CUACGGGCGGCUGCAGUCGAGAGGCUUCCACAAUGGGGGAAACCCUGAUGGAGCGACGCCGCGUGGGUGAUGAAGGUUUUCGGAUCGUAAAGCCCUUUCAGUAAGGACGAAGGAACCGGGUGCCAAUACCACCCGGUUCAGGACGGUACUUACAGAAGAAGCUCCGGCUAACUCCGUGCCAGCAGCCGCGGUAAGACGGGGGGAGCAAGCGUUGUUCGGAUUUACUGGGCGUAAAGGGCGUCUAGGCGGGUCGGUUAGUCAGAUGUGAAAUCCCAUGGCUCAACCGUGGAAUUGCAUUUGAUACUGCCGGUCUUGAGUACGGAAGAGGAAAGCGGAAUUCCUGGUGUAGCGGUGAAAUGCGUAGAUAUCAGGAAGAACACCGGUGGCGAAGGCGGCUUUCUGGUCCGAUACUGACGCUGAAGCGCGAAAGUGUGGGGAGCAAACAGGAUUAGAUACCCCAGUAGUC
This 466-nucleotide ribosomal RNA is filed under the name uncultured bacterium. RNAcentral describes it as "partial 16S ribosomal RNA". It matches the Rfam family "Bacterial small subunit ribosomal RNA", at positions 339 to 795 of the family's 1533-position model. The record is from RNAcentral.